AGUGAACGCUGGCGGUAGGCCUAACACAUGCAAGUCGAACGGCAGCACAGUAAGAGCUUGCUCUUACGGGUGGCGAGUGGCGGACGGGUGAGGUAUACAUCGGAAUCUACUUUUUCGUGGGGGAUAACGUAGGGAAACUUACGCUAAUACCGCAUACGACCUACGGGUGAAAGCAGGGGAUCUUCGGACCUUGCGCGAUUGAAUGAGCCGAUGUCGGAUUAGCUAGUUGGCGGGGUAAAGGCCCACCAAGGCGACGAUCCGUAGCUGGUCUGAGAGGAUGAUCAGCCACACUGGAACUGAGACACGGUCCAGACUCCUACGGGAGGCAGCAGUGGGGAAUAUUGGACAAUGGGCGCAGGCCUGAUCCAGCCAUACCGCGUGGGUGAAGAAGGCCUUCGGGUUGUAAAGCCCUUUUGUUGGGAAAGAAAAGCAGCAGGUUAAUACCCCGCUGUUCUGACGGUACCCAAAGAAUAAGCACCGGCUAACUUCGUG
This 492-nucleotide ribosomal RNA is filed under the name uncultured bacterium. RNAcentral describes it as "partial 16S ribosomal RNA". It matches the Rfam family "Bacterial small subunit ribosomal RNA", at positions 29 to 507 of the family's 1533-position model. The record is from RNAcentral.